This is an RNA transcript of Camelus dromedarius (Arabian camel), 4515 nucleotides long. It is a transcript of the gene named solute carrier family 25 member 53, with no coding region annotated. The transcript has 3 exons. NCBI's taxonomy places the organism in Eukaryota, Metazoa, Chordata, Mammalia, Artiodactyla, Camelidae. The record is from RefSeq and is a predicted model, not a curated record.
ACCAGAUAAGUGCCCUGGAUCUCCGAACCAAGCAAUCUGCGUGCCAGGGGGCGUGUCGACGUGCCAGGGGGCGUGUCGACGUGCUAGGGGGGCGUCGAUAGUCCAAGGAACAUAGGCGUGAAGGGGUUAAUGCCAGAAUUGGGGGGUGGGGCGAACGGGGACGAAGAGGAUUGUGGGAUAUCCGUUGUACGUCGCCCCAUGGGCGCCUGGGAUAUAUCCAGUGCGCGUGUCUAUUAUUACCGACCCUAAAUGGGGGCCAGAGGCGGGUUCGGGUCUAGCCAGUGCCGCCGCAGCUGCUCUCCGAGGCCGCAAGACAGGAGCCAUCGGCCGCGGCCCGCGGCGGAGAGAGAGGAUGAGGCGGAGAAAUUGAAGCUGUGAUUUCUUUCCCUUUGUUCUGCUCGUCUUGGAGCACUGCCAUUCCUACUCAAGGCUGCUUGGGAACCAUCUGGCACUCUAGCCGCUCGGUCUUUACCAAGCAGAGGAGAGAAACGAUACUGAGUUUCCAGUUCUUCAAACGUUGGGCUUCUAACUCCCACAUUACUGAUCUAUUUCUCUUGCUCUGCCCUGGAUGGAAUUACAAGGUUUUUGGGCUUCUUAAGUCCUAUCUGUGAACCCACAUGCAAAAUAAUGUAACUGACUUCCAUGGGGUUGUUGCGAGGAAAUGAUGUGAGAGAAUUCAAGUGAAGCUCCAAGGAGGCUGCCUGGCACAGAGGAGGGGCAUGAUAAGCAGUGGCUGUAUCAGUAUCACUAUAUGAAUGUAUGGAGGUAAAACUGUAAUUUCUUCCUUUCACUGAGAGAAACUGGUGAUAGAAAUCAGGGAUCUAGUCCAAAGACCUGCCAGCACAAGGCAGGUAGCAGGAUCUUGCUGAAGGUUCGGGAGAGUGGAGGAAGUUCAUCCCCACACAGCAGACAACGUGAAAGAGAACCUCAGAGCCAAGUGCCUGCUAUGACCCAGCUUUUAUAGAAAAAGAACUGGAACAUAUAUGUUUGUGUAAAAGCAGAUCUGGAAGAACAUAUACCAGUCUGGACUGUGGGGAGAUGGGGUAACUUUCACUUUUGCUUUUACUUUGUUCCUUUCUGUGUUUGAAAACUGUUUCAUUUUAAUUGAGCAUAUACUACACUAAACAAUGUUAAAAUGAUUUUUAAAAGGCCAAUCAAUAAAAAAAUAACCAAUCAGUAAAUUACACUAAAAAAUCUCAAGGCAGUUUCACUCAAACUUCUCUUCCAUUCAGCCUCCUGCCUGGCCCUUAGGCUCCCUCAUCUCCUUAGCUUAGCAGCUCCCAUCCUCCAGAGUUCCUUCUGCAGUUAUCCUUGUACAGAGAAGUUUUGCUGCUAUCUUCCUGUAGACCCAGGCCAUCUCAUCCAAGUCCAGAGAGCCUCACUCACCUCCCUAAGCACACAAGCAUAAAGCAUUCUCGCAGGUGUGUUCCUAAGCAAAGACAGUUCCUGUUCUGAGAAGAAUUAUUUGAUUAGCUCUGAAAGGAUUUUUAUUCUCUCCGCCUUUGCAUGGGUAAAGUAACCUAAGGCUAUGGAGUUUAAUGGAAUUCCCUGUGAAGAGGCUGAGGGAGGGCUUAGGUAAUCCACCUACAAACCUGUUUGGAAAAUUUGGAAAGAAGCAUUUGAUGCAGUUAUGACGGCAUUCUGUGGCAUGGCAGUUAAAAUGCACCAGGCCCUCUUAGAAAAUUCCCAGAUGUGCACACAUUUCAUUCUCACCACAACCCUAUGAGGGACUUCCUGUUAUGACUCCAGUUUACCAAGGAGGAAGCUGAAGCACAGUGAAGUUCACUACCAUGCAUAAGUUGUAAGGGAAGGAGCCAGGGUUUCAAGAAUGCCCAAAUCAUGUCCCUCCUCUCUUUAUCCAACUGCCCAACCCCUCCGUAGGCAACCUGCUUGGCUGCUUUUAUACAAAAUGCAGUAUUGGAAUCAGGAGAUCACUGCUUUAAGAGCUCAGUCAGUGCUAACUCCCAAAAGCCAGAGUGAAGAACCUGGUUUAUUUGGUACAGUGUAGCAAAAUGUCCAGCUUGAAACUAAAUUUCUGAUUACCUUCUUCAUCCAUAUGUUAUUAAGGGUAGUUAUGUCCUUAUAAAAGGAAGAUUUAGGGUAGCUAAACAAAGAAGGGGGUGAUGUAGUCUCAUUCCACAAAAUGCAAGUGAGAUCAACCUUUUUUCAGUGGAGUACUUCAAGACGUGGUAUUUAGCAAGUGUCAAGGUAUAGUGAUUGGGACUGUAGAGCUAGAAGUUUACAGAAGCCUGUGACCAUCUUGAGGCUAAAUUCUGCCCUUGGUCUUCAGCCAGUGAAGUGCCUGCAUCUGCUGGAAGUGGAUAAGAAAACAUGUAGAACUGAAUGAUGAUGAAAAAUCUGAUUUUCAGCCAAGCUUGUGGAAUACACCACAAACAGUACUAGAAAGCAAAUUUAAAGGCAAAGUGUGUAUAUUUAAAGUGAAAGACUGGAAAUAAGUGCAGCGAAUGUCCAAUAUAAUUUAGGUAAGGUAGAAGGGAGGAUCCAAUAAAGAUAAGAGUAGAAAUCAUUGAAGUAGAAAACAAAUAGAAAAGUCAGAGAAACCAAAAGUAAAUUUGUCCAAAAGACUAGUAAAUGAACCUCUGGAAAAACUGACUCAGAAUAAAGAGAAAUGCACAAACAAGAAUAAAAAGAAUGUAUUCUAAAUGCCACUGAAUUAUACACUUGAAGUGGUAAAUUUUAUGUUCUAUGAAUUCUUCCCCAAUAAAAAAAUAUUUGGAAUGGAAAAGGGGAGAGUAACUAUGGAUAGGAUACAGAUGAAUCAUAUCAUUUGAUAUGAUGUUUAGUAAUUGCUUUAAAAUAUGCCAUUAAAAAUUAUAGGGAAUUACAGAUGAAGAUAUGCAAAUAUUAAUUCUUGAAGCUGGCUGAUGGGAACACGAGGGUUCACUAUACCAUUCUCUAUCCCUUUGUAUGUGUUUGAAAAGUUCCAUUAAAAAAGUUAAAAUGCAACUCCCUAAAUCAUUUGAAAAUGUGGGUAAUUUGGUGAUUUCUUAGAGUUGAAUAAAUAUGGCAUAUUAAAGUCUAUAGUAGCUCUAAUUUAAAAGAGCAUUACAGGCACGUGAAGAAAUGAGGAAGGACCCUGAAUGUGAGCCAGUGCUACCAAAGUAGGUCAUAGAAUGGGCCACCUAUCCCCCCUGCUCCUGUGGAACAUAGUCCUUCAUUCAGCAGCUCUGCUUCUAGGAAUUUCUCCUCUGGAAGUAUUGGUCACAUGUGCAAACCACAAGCAUGUAGACCCCAGACUGGUUGGAACCAGAAGUUUAAUGAUUAAACUCCCCUAAACAUCAUGCUGUUACCUCACCACCAACCAGUCAAAAGAAAGUCCGUGAGCUGCAGCCCUCACCUGAAAUGUCUUUAAACCCUGAAAGCCACUGGGGAGUUUGGGUCUUUUGAGCGUGAGCUGCCCAGUCUCCUUGCCUGGUGCCCUGCAAUAAACACUGUACUUUCCUUCACGACAGCCCAGUGUCAGGAGAUUGACUUUUCUGUGCAGAGGGCAAGCAGACUCGAGUUCCAUUUGGUAUCAGUAGUUCUAUUUAUAUAACGUUUGAAAACAGAACAACAGUGUUGGGGAUUCAUAUUUGAGUGGCAACGCUCUAAAGAAAAGCAAGAAAGUAAUAGCUAUAACUAUCAUGAGAGUGGUUUCCUUUAGGGAAGAGGAGAGAGGCUGUGAUUGCACAGGGGCUCACAGGGAUUUCAGGAGUUCUGGCCUUGCUCUCUUUCUUGAUCUUUGUAGUAGUUUGCUUUUAUAACAAUUUUUUUCUCUUUCUUCUCUUUUUAAAAAUUUUUUCUUUUUAAAAAUAUUUCUAGAUUAAAAAAUUUUUUAAUUGAAGUAUAGUCAAUUACAAUAUGCCCAUUUCUGGUGUACAGCAUAAUGUCUCAUAUGUAGAGUCAUGCAUAUAUAUAUAUAUAUAUAUAUACACAUAUAUACAUACAUUCAUUUUCAUAUUCUAUUUUAUUAAAGGUAAUUACAAGGUAUUGAAUCUAGUUCCCUGUGCUACACAGAAGAAACUUGUUUUUUUAAUCUAUUUUUAUAUAUAGUGGUUAACCUUUAUAAUAAUUUGUUAGGCUGUAUACUUAUAUUUUAUGCAUUUUCUGUUAUUUCGCCCUCAGUAAGAAUGUUUUAGAACCUGAAGAUAAUAUUAGGAUUAUCUCAGGUUUAACUGUGAUAAUGAAAUGAAACCAUGUUGAGCUCUUAGAAUAUGCCUGGUACUUUGAAAGACCUUAAUAAAUGUUAGCUAUCUACAAUAAAAGUUUGCUGUUAUGUUUUUCAUAUUUGUUGCCUAUAUUUCUCAGCUUGUUGUUUGUCUUUUAUUUCUGUUAAUGCUGUCUUUUGAGUUAUUGGUCUUGAAGGAGGAUUAAUAAAAUGGCCUCCCUUCGGCUAAUGGAUUGCUUAUUAUGUUUGCCCUUAAAACAGUCAGCUGACCUGACUGACCAGUUGCUACUCACAGUUCCAGGCCCAUUGUUAAAACUAAAGCUAUUGAUCUUACUGUUUAUACUUUA